RNAcentral lists this unclassified non-coding RNA (240 nucleotides) under soil metagenome. RNAcentral's name for it is "partial contains 5.8S ribosomal RNA, internal transcribed spacer 2, and large subunit ribosomal RNA". The record is from RNAcentral.
AACCUUAUGGACCUGCGGGCGUAUACCUGCGGAAGGAUCAUUACCGAGUUUACAAACUCCCAACCCUAUGUGAACCUACCUAUCGUUGCUUCGGCGGGCUUAGCCCCCGCGCCCUCGCCGGCGCCGGGAAACAGGCGCCCGCCGGAGACCCAAACUCAAUGUUUUUCAUGCAGUAUUAUUCUGAGUGGCAAACGCAAAAAUAAAUCAAAACUUUCAACAAUGGAUCUCAGAUCGGAAGAG